Long non-coding RNA from Empidonax traillii (willow flycatcher), 393 nucleotides. RefSeq lists it as uncharacterized. The transcript is spliced from 3 exons. The record is from RefSeq and is a predicted model, not a curated record. NCBI's taxonomy places the organism in Eukaryota, Metazoa, Chordata, Aves, Passeriformes, Tyrannidae.
CCUGCCCGCCCGGGAGCUGCGGCCCGUCCCACCUCUCCUCGGCGCCGGUUGAAGGAAGAACGAAGAUUUCGGGAGCGCUUUUUGCGCGCCGGGACUGACCUCCCCACUUGGGUGAGUGUCGUGGAGGCAGAGAUAGGGACCGUGCCCGUGCUGCUCGGCUGACACGCAUUUCGGAGCAACACAUUCCAGCAGAUGAACCCAUUUGCACACAUUUUCAAACGCACUGGAGAUGAUUUUCUCUUCCACUGCUCCUGAUGUCAAGCUGGGAGUCAUGGACCGCUCCACGUGUGGUGAAGGACGUCCCCGAUCUGUGGCACUCUGGCAACUUGGUGAAGACCCGAAAGAAAAAGAGCCUGGCUGUAGAACUGGACCCUUAAACCCAACGAAUUUCUU